Molecule: ribosomal RNA, 460 nt
Filed under: uncultured bacterium
Lineage: Bacteria
Description: partial 16S ribosomal RNA
Rfam family: Bacterial small subunit ribosomal RNA
Source: RNAcentral
CCUACGGGAGGCAGCAGUGAGGAAUAUUGGUCAAUGGACGCAAGUCUGAACCAGCCAUGCCGCGUGCAGGAAGACGGCUCUAUGAGUUGUAAACUGCUUUUGUACGAGGGUAAACGCAGAUACGCGUAUCUGUCUGAAAGUAUCGUACGAAUAAGGAACGGCUAACGCCGUGCCAGCAGCCGCGGUAAUACGGAGGAUUCAAGCGUUAUCCGGAUUUAUUGGGUUUAAAGGGUGCGUAGGCGGUAGGAUAAGUUAGAGGUGAAAUCCCGAGGCUCAACUUCGGAAUUGCCUUUGAUACUGUUCGGCUAGAGAGUAGUUGAGGUAGGCGGAAUGUAUGGUGUAGCGGUGAAAUGCGUAGAGAUCAUACAGAACAUCGAUUGCGAAGGCAGCUUACCAAGCUACUUCUGACGUUGAGGCACGAAAGCGUGGGUAGCAAACAGGAUUAGAUACCCCAGUAGUC